AGGACGAACGCUGGCGGCGUGCUUAACACAUGCAAGUCGAGCGGUAAGGCCUUUCGGGGUACACGAGCGGCGAACGGGUGAGUAACACGUGGGUGAUCUGCCCUGCACUUCGGGAUAAGCCUGGGAAACUGGGUCUAAUACCGGAUAUGACCUCAGGUUGCAUGACUUGGGGUGGAAAGAUUUAUCGGUGCAGGAUGGGCCCGCGGCCUAUCAGCUUGUUGGUGGGGUAAUGGCCUACCAAGGCGACGACGGGUAGCCGACCUGAGAGGGUGACCGGCCACACUGGGACUGAGACACGGCCCAGACUCCUACGGGAGGCAGCAGUGGGGAAUAUUGCACAAUGGGCGAAAGCCUGAUGCAGCGACGCCGGCGUGAGGGAUGACGGCCUUCGGGUUGUUAAACCUCUUUCAGCAGGACGAAGCGCAAGUGACGGUACUGCAGAAGAAGCACCGCUAACACGUGCCAGCAGCCGC
Molecule: ribosomal RNA, 473 nt
Filed under: uncultured soil bacterium
Lineage: Bacteria
Description: bacterial SSU rRNA
Rfam family: Bacterial small subunit ribosomal RNA
Source: RNAcentral